GAGCUUGUAGCUCAGUUGGUUAGAGCAUACGCCUGAUAAGCGUAAGGUCAACAGUUCAAAUCUGUUCAAGCUCA
This 74-nucleotide transfer RNA is filed under the name Aureococcus anophagefferens. RNAcentral describes it as "tRNA-Ile". It matches the Rfam family "tRNA". Rfam says of the family: Transfer RNA (tRNA) molecules are approximately 80 nucleotides in length. Their secondary structure includes four short double-helical elements and three loops (D, anti-codon, and T loops). Lineage: Eukaryota; Pelagophyceae; Pelagomonadales; Pelagomonadaceae. The record is from RNAcentral. RNAcentral also lists the same sequence under 1 other name.